RNAcentral lists this long non-coding RNA (212 nucleotides) under Ananas comosus (pineapple). RNAcentral describes it as "long non-coding RNA (ACOM_LNC037256)". Lineage: Eukaryota; Viridiplantae; Streptophyta; Magnoliopsida; Poales; Bromeliaceae. The record is from RNAcentral.
AGAAGUAAAAUUUUUUAAUAAAAGAUGAAGAAAUCAUUGUUGAACUGUUGGCGCUAAUCAUUAAUUUUAAGAGUUCGGACUAUUAAAAAUAUAUAAUAAAUUCACUUAGCUUGUACAGAUAUAGUAACCACGAGUCUCGAUUCUGACUCGAUCCAAUCAAUUUUAUUCGAUCUCCUGUCAUUUCGAAUACAACUAUAUCUUAUCUGGCUUUU